RNAcentral lists this ribosomal RNA (330 nucleotides) under uncultured bacterium. RNAcentral describes it as "bacterial SSU rRNA". It matches the Rfam family "Bacterial small subunit ribosomal RNA", at positions 568 to 898 of the family's 1533-position model. The record is from RNAcentral.
UCCGUAGGCGGUGCGGCAAGUCGAUAGUGAAAUCCCUGGGCUUAACUCAGGGGCUGCUAACGAAACUGCCGUGCUAGAGUGUGAGAGAGGCGAGUGGAAUUACGGGUGUAGCGGUGAAAUGCGUAGAUAUCCGUAGGAACAUCCGAGGCGAAAGCGGCUCGCUGGAUCACAACUGACGCUGAGGGACGAAAGCUAGGGGAGCAAACAGGAUUAGAUACCCUGGUAGUCCUAGCCCUAAACCAUCAGGACUUGGGGUUUGCCCUGUACGGGGCAAGUCCCGUAGCUAACGUGUUAAGUCCCGCGCCUGGGGAGUACGGUCGCAAGGCUGAA